AACGAACGCUGGCGGCAUGCCUAACACAUGCAAGUCGAACGAGACCUUCGGGUCUAGUGGCGCACGGGUGCGUAACGCGUGGGAAUUUGCCUCGGGGUACGGAAUAACUCAGGGAAACUUGAGCUAAUACCGUAUGAUGUCUUCGGACCAAAGAUUUAUCGCCCUGAGAUAAGCCCGCGUAGGAUUAGCUAGUUGGUGAGGUAAGAGCUCACCAAGGCGACGAUCCUUAGCUGGUCUGAGAGGAUGAUCAGCCACACUGGGACUGAGACACGGCCCAGACUCCUACGGGAGGCAGCAGUGGGGAAUAUUGGACAAUGGGCGAAAGCCUGAUCCAGCAAUGCCGCGUGAGUGAUGAAGGCCUUAGGGUUGUAAAGCUCUUUUACCAGGGAUGAUAAUGACAGUAUCGGGAGAAUAAGCUCCGGCUAACUCCGUGCCAGCAGCCGCGGUAAUGUGACUACUG
This 460-nucleotide ribosomal RNA is filed under the name uncultured bacterium. Its description in RNAcentral is "bacterial SSU rRNA". It matches the Rfam family "Bacterial small subunit ribosomal RNA", at positions 29 to 534 of the family's 1533-position model. The record is from RNAcentral.